GGAGGGCUAGCUCAGUGGCAGAGUGUGUGCCUGGCAUGCACGAAGCCCCGGGUUCAACCCCCAGUCCCUCUG
This 72-nucleotide transfer RNA is filed under the name Camelus bactrianus (Bactrian camel). It matches the Rfam family "tRNA". From Rfam's summary of the family: Transfer RNA (tRNA) molecules are approximately 80 nucleotides in length. Their secondary structure includes four short double-helical elements and three loops (D, anti-codon, and T loops). Lineage: Eukaryota; Metazoa; Chordata; Mammalia; Artiodactyla; Camelidae. RNAcentral also lists the same sequence under 1 other name. The record is from Rfam by way of RNAcentral.